UACAGAGGUCCCAAGCGUUGUUCGGAUUCACUGGGCGUAAAGGGUGCGUAGGCGGUCGGGUAAGUCUGAUGUGAAAUCUCCAAGCUCAACUUGGAAACGGCAUUGGAUACUAUUCGGCUUGAGGAAUGGAGGGGAGACUGGAAUUCUCGGUGUAGCAGUGAAAUGCGUAGAUAUCGAGAGGAACACCAGUGGCGAAGGCGAGUCUCUGGAAAUUUCCUGACGCUGAGGCACGAAAGCCAGGGGAGCAAACGGG
This 253-nucleotide ribosomal RNA is filed under the name uncultured bacterium. RNAcentral describes it as "partial 16S ribosomal RNA". It matches the Rfam family "Bacterial small subunit ribosomal RNA", at positions 524 to 776 of the family's 1533-position model. The record is from RNAcentral.